GCGACAGUAGCUCAGUGGUAGAGCCCUGCUUCUCAUGCUGGGAGACCCGGGUUCGAUUCCCGGCUGCUUCC
RNAcentral lists this transfer RNA (71 nucleotides) under Toxocara canis (dog roundworm). It matches the Rfam family "tRNA". Rfam says of the family: Transfer RNA (tRNA) molecules are approximately 80 nucleotides in length. Lineage: Eukaryota; Metazoa; Nematoda; Chromadorea; Rhabditida; Toxocaridae. The record is from Rfam by way of RNAcentral.